AAAGCAGGCUAGACGAUCGCGGUUCGAUUUCGAAACGAGGAAAGUCCGGGCUUCAUAGGGCAGGGAUGCCGGCUAACGGCCGGUGGAGGUGACUCCCAGGAUAGUGCAACAGAAAUAUACCGCCGGGUUUUCCCGGCAAGGGUGAAAAGGCAGUGUAAGAGACUACCGUAUCCGUGGUAACAUGGAUAGCCAUGUAAACCCCAUCCGAAGCAAGACUAGAACGGAACAAUGACGUGGCCCGCCAGUUCCAGGUUAGUCGCUUGAGACGACUGGCAACGGUCGUCCUAGAUAGAUGAUCGUCCAAGACAUAACCCGGCUUACAGGCUUGCUUUUCCU
This 336-nucleotide RNase P RNA is filed under the name Lachnospiraceae bacterium. RNAcentral's name for it is "RNase P RNA component class A". It matches the Rfam family "Bacterial RNase P class A". Rfam says of the family: Ribonuclease P (RNase P) is a ubiquitous endoribonuclease, found in archaea, bacteria and eukarya as well as chloroplasts and mitochondria. The record is from RNAcentral. Lineage: Bacteria; Bacillati; Bacillota; Clostridia; Lachnospirales; Lachnospiraceae.